AUACUCUGGUUUCUCUUCAAAUUGUAUAAAUCUUUCACCUUUUAUUAAAGAUUUCUUUGGGGAGGAACAUUUAUGAGUUUCUAUCUGAUUUUUUGAGGCUUUGCUUUAGUGAGGCC
Small nuclear RNA from Malaclemys terrapin pileata, 116 nucleotides. RefSeq annotates it as U5 spliceosomal RNA. NCBI's taxonomy places the organism in Eukaryota, Metazoa, Chordata, Testudines, Emydidae. The transcript has a single exon. The record is from RefSeq and is a predicted model, not a curated record.